CAGCAGCCGCGGGAAUACGUAGGUGGCAAGCGUUGUCCGGAAUUAUUGGGCGUAAAGGGCUCGCAGGCGGUUUCUUAAGUCUGAUGUGAAAGCCCCCGGCUCAACCGGGGAGGGUCAUUGGAAACUGGGAAACUUGAGUGCAGAAGAGGAGAGUGGAAUUCCACGUGUAGCGGUGAAAUGCGUAGAGAUGUGGAGGAACACCAGUGGCGAAGGCGACUCUCUGGUCUGUAACUGACGCUGAGGAGCGGAAGCGUGGGGAGCGAACAGGAUUAGAUACCCCGGUAGUCCCUGUCUCUUAUAC
RNAcentral lists this ribosomal RNA (301 nucleotides) under uncultured bacterium. RNAcentral describes it as "partial 16S ribosomal RNA". It matches the Rfam family "Bacterial small subunit ribosomal RNA", at positions 509 to 807 of the family's 1533-position model. The record is from RNAcentral.